This 450-nucleotide ribosomal RNA is filed under the name uncultured bacterium. RNAcentral describes it as "bacterial SSU rRNA". It matches the Rfam family "Bacterial small subunit ribosomal RNA", at positions 29 to 524 of the family's 1533-position model. The record is from RNAcentral.
AACGAACGCUGGCGGCAUGCCUAACACAUGCAAGUCGAACGAAGCCUUCGGGCUUAGUGGCGCACGGGUGCGUAACGCGUGGGAAUCUGCCCUUGGGUUCGGAAUAACAGUUAGAAAUGACUGCUAAUACCGAAUGAUGUCUUCGGACCAAAGAUUUAUCGCCCAAGGAUGAGCCCGCGUCGGAUUAGCUAGUUGGUGAGGUAAAGGCUCACCAAGGCGACGAUCCGUAGCUGGUCUGAGAGGAUGAUCAGCCACACUGGGACUGAGACACGGCCCAGACUCCUACGGGAGGCAGCAGUGGGGAAUAUUGGACAAUGGGGGCAACCCUGAUCCAGCAAUGCCGCGUGAGUGAUGAAGGCCUUAGGGUUGUAAAGCUCUUUUACCAGGGACGAUGAUGACGGUACCUGGAAAGGAAGCACCGGCUAACUCUGUGCCAGCAGCCGCGGUAAU